UUCCCACCCCUCAUUUUUUUUCCAGCCGCCACCGCAGCCUCCCUGUCUUCUUCUCCAUCGCGCAGCAGGCAUCCCACGGCAGCAGAAGCAGGGAGCCGUGCUCCCCUCCAUGGCGAGCAGCAAGCUGGCGCCCCUGCUCCUUCUUCCUCGGCGCUGAAGCUCCUCCCUAGCGUCCAUGGCGCCGGCGUAUCUCCAGCCGCCCCCUGCUCCUUGUUCCACGCGCAGCAGCCACGCGCAAGAAGUAAGGCCAGCAGCCAUGGCGAUUUCCCCUGCGAGCUCCCCUCUCUCCCAUGGCUGACCCUCUGCUCCCUGCACUUGGCGUCCUUGCAGCAGGCGAGCUCAGCUCCACCUCCCUGCGCUCAGCUCAUCUCCUUUGCCCAGCGCCCUCCCUCCUCUCUGUUUUUCCUUGAG
RNAcentral lists this unclassified non-coding RNA (411 nucleotides) under Zea mays. Its description in RNAcentral is "misc RNA Zm00001eb235680". The record is from RNAcentral. Lineage: Eukaryota; Viridiplantae; Streptophyta; Magnoliopsida; Poales; Poaceae.